Molecule: ribosomal RNA, 253 nt
Filed under: uncultured bacterium
Lineage: Bacteria
Description: partial 16S ribosomal RNA
Rfam family: Bacterial small subunit ribosomal RNA
Source: RNAcentral
UACGAAGGGGGCUAGCGUUGUUCGGAAUCACUGGGCGUAAAGGGUGCGCAGGCGGGUUCAUAAGUCAGGGGUGAAAUCCCGAGGCUCAACCUCGGAACUGCCUUUGAGACUGCGUCGCUUGAAUCCGGGAGAGGCGGGUGGAAUUCCGAGUGUAGAGGUGAAAUUCGUAGAUAUUCGGAAGAACACCAGUGGCGAAGGCGGCCCGCUGGACCGGUAUUGACGCUGAGGUGCGAAAGCGUGGGGAGCAAACAGG